RNA transcript from Dunckerocampus dactyliophorus (ringed pipefish), 6186 nucleotides. It is a transcript of the gene named fibronectin type III domain containing 5a, with no coding region annotated. The record is from RefSeq and is a predicted model, not a curated record. The transcript has 6 exons. NCBI's taxonomy places the organism in Eukaryota, Metazoa, Chordata, Actinopteri, Syngnathiformes, Syngnathidae.
AAGAGAAUGAGAGAGUGCUGCUCUUUCUUCUAGAAUCAAAAUGCAUCUGCAGGAAGUCUGCAUCCUGAAUCUUUACAGUUAUGCACAAUUGGAAAACAAGAACAUCUGAAAUUACUGCUAAAUGCAAUUGUACUGAUUUGAUGCUUUUAAAAGCUUCAAAGUGAUGUAACUUGUAUUUUUUGGGUGGCUCUCUGACUGUGUAAUACAGCUGUGUGGUGUAGAGUCAGGCAGGGGCAGCCCAGGCUCUCAUAUUCAACACCAGCACGUUUCAGUCGAUCUGCGGCAGCCUCCACCUCCAGCAUCAUCAGCAUCAUCAUCAGGUGGAGAUCGGGGAGGCUUUUGGAACUCAGCUGGUGCACGGACACGACAGACGCAAGCCCAUUCGAGAACAAUGCUCCUAACAGUGGGGGGUGUGGAAUGAGGAAGCAGCUACCGGGACUGCUCGGUGUUCUUUUUCCCGCCCAGACGUGCUUCUCACUCGGACUCGGACAUGACAGCCGGGCGGUUAACGCAGCAUCCCCGGCUGGAGGAGUAAAUGGGACCGCACAUCGUCCGAGCGUUAGAAAGAUGGAGCGAUUUGUUCUGCUCGUUCUCAGCUGUUUUGGCGUCUCACAAGUCUCAGCGGAUAGCUUGUCUCCUCCUGUCAAUGUUACCAUCAAAGCAGUGAAAGCCAACUCUGCUGUGGUGACAUGGGACAUCCCAGAGGGAGAUCCUGUCAUUGGCUUUGCCAUUACACAGCAGAAAAAAGACGUGCGCAUGCUACGAUUCAUCCAGGAAGUCAACACCACCACACGCUCCUGUGCAUUAUGGGAUUUAGAGGAAGAGACAGACUACAUCGUCCAUGUCCAGUCCAUCAGCAUGUUCGGGACGAGCCCACAAAGCGAGCCUUUACGCUUCCGAACGCCAAAGGAGGCCGAGACUCAGGGUUCUAAGAAUAAAGACGAAGUAACGAUGGAGGAAGUGGGUCAGACCAAUCAACUGAGGGCGGGAGAGCUCAUCAUAAUCGUUGUGGUGCUCAUCAUGUGGGCAGGCGUGAUUGCUCUCUUCUGUCGUCAGUACGACAUCAUCAAAGACAACGAACCCAACAACAACAAGGACAAAGCCAAAAACUCUUCGGAGUGCAGCACUCCUGAACACCCGACAGGGGGGCUGUUGCGCAGUAAGGUAUAAUCCACCAACCCCCUCUUCCCCCGAGGUGCCUCCUCCCUCAACGGCGCCGGGCAGUUCCCCAAGAACAAUAAGAUGCCAUCUGUCAACAUCAUUGAAGUGUGACUGUCUUCCCCAUAUGCUAAAGACAUUGUGUUUUCGCAAAUAAGCAAGUCCUAUUAAGCAAAUCUGCUUGUCAGAAUGUGCCGCUUACGUCUCCUUUGCCGCGGGCCUGCCACUGGAGCAAAGCCUGCCAGCACGCUGGGAAUCAGGAUUGACUUGGCCGGUGCCGUCCUGAGAGGAGGUCCCACAGUGGAGAGACUGCGGGGAGGGUUGAGCGGAUCGGUCGUGCUUAACAACCACUAUACCACGGGGGCGGCAGGAAUUAGGGCCAAAUGGUCCUGGCAGUGGACAGACUGCUGAUAAACCAACCCCAGGGACCAAAGUCGAUAAGCAGAGCCGGAGACCUUUUCAUCCACUCUCCCUCUUUCAUCUGACUUCCGUCUUUUAGUGGGUCACGAUUGGCCUGUACUUUUUUGGGUGGCACCCAAUGUUUCUCAGUAUUCCUCCGUGGUGUGAUUUUAAUCUCAUCCUCUAGAUGUUGUUUUGUCCUAACAUGUUCUAAAUCCAACUUUCUUACGAGUGAAGGUGAAUCAUUUAUCAUGAAACUGUAGUUUUGUCACAGAAGGUACUGCCAGUACAUUUCUGUUGCUCUGGUACUUUUUACACCCCACCAAGGCAGAAAAGUCUGUCGUCCUGUGGGAAAUAUUUUCAGUCUGGCGAGCUUGUUUCCCCCCUCAGGGAAUCCAGACUCCACCUGUUAAAUUUAGGAGCGAUUUCUAAAAAUGGGCUGUUCUAACGCCAUAGCAGCUUCUGAGGCAUUGCUCAGUUUGGUGUCUCAUUGGCUCACAUUUGCUUUUUAGCAACACCACCUUGACUCUCUUUCAUGGUUUUAAUAUAUUCUAUUCUUUACAUUCCACAUCCAGAAUGAGCUGUCUUUUAUUUCUCUCUGAAGGUGAUGGAUUUCUCAGCAUUCUGGGUAAAACAAAAAGGACUUGACCCAGAGUGCCUCAUCUAAAUAAUGAAUUUUCAAAGGGGCUUGGAUGCGUCUACAGAGAAGUGGCCUUUGUAGCAACAUUAGAGGAGAUUCUUCAAGCAAUAACAGCCCUGACACGAGGACUUCGUGCGCAAUGAGGUCACAUUCUGUAGAAAAACAACACACAAGCAUAACCUCUCGGCGUCCGAUGUUAACACGCACAUUAUGAUAAGGAAAGAUGAUGUGCCUCAUUUUCAGACAUUUGAUUUCUUAUGGAGGCAUUUUAUGGGUUCAGCUUUGAGGUUCUCUUAGGAACAGAUGUCAUCGAAGCAGAAGGGCUUCUAACGAGUAUUUUUAAGUCAAAGCCGGUAUUUGUCCAUGUAGGCUAGAUAUAGUACAUAAUUAGCAUUUGGAUUAUAAAUUGAGUAGACACUCGGUAUCAGUCACUAACUGUAUUAUGUGAACAUUAUAAGGACUGAUACAUGGCCAGUAUCCUCUAUGGUUUGUAUAGUAGCUAUUUUAUGUUUGGGGAGGUCAAAUUGUUGAAGUAUCAUUUAUUACCCCAUACCGGCCCCUUGGACAGCCACUCAGUCCACUGACUGGUGAUGUCUAUUCCCCCCGAACACAAAUUGAUUUAGUCUGAUUAACCAGCUUGUAGGUUUGCUAAGAGUCAUCUUACAUCAUCAAGCCAUGGCACAGUAGCACUCAAGGGGUGACUAUAAAAACGAUAAGUAAAUAUUAAGUAGCGGGGUAAUAUUUUUAGUUUUAAAGAAAUAUGAAAAUGAAUCGUGAAAUCUGUCAAUCCAAGUACCCGAGGGCUGAUCCCAAAGUCCUGCCUUAAAAAUCACCUUUAUUUAUUGCUAAUAGGAUAGCGCUCUAUCUCACAUGUAACAUAUACCUGUCAACAUUAUACUUUUCAUGAAAUAAUCGAAUGUGUGUGUACAGUAACCAGAAAAAUUGACAUGCAGCUGCAGAAUCAGGCUGGAUUAAUGCGUACAUAUUUAAUGUGUAAAUACAUUAUGAAAUAUGACAAAUGAAAACCACAGUAUUGUGCAAAAAUCUUCGGCCAACUUUAGAUUAUUGAGUUUUGUAAUGCUACAAUUGAUUUUGAGUUUGGAAACCUCCUUUCUACCACUUACUGUCAAAAUUACGAAAAACAACAACAAAGCUUGUGGUGGCCUAAAGCUUUUGCAGAGUACUGUAAAUAAGUAACCUUAGAGGGUGCUAUUCCAGGUAUAAGUUACACGCCCUACUAAUAAUGAUCGUUUCAUAGCACUUAUCAACUGUAGUGUGUUUAUAUUACAUUUUGUCACUGUGUUGUUAAUGUGCAAGAAGAGAAAAACUACCUAUGUAAAGUUGAUCCAAGUACAUUACAUGAGUAAGGAGCCAUUUAAUGGCUGGGAACUCAUCAUCUUAUUUCAUCAGAGACUCUGCGGUGUGUUAGCAGACAGGAAGAUCCGUGCAUGCAAGAUAAAAAGUUCCCAGCUCGGAGUGUGGUGGGUAAAGUGGGUAAAGCCAAUGCAAUGUCACCAAUUUGUCUGGUAUGCACCGUUUACAGCCUUUUCAUAACCCAACCUUUUUAUGAAUUUAGUUGAUCAAAAAUAGAUUGGAAAGUGACGUCGGUAGCCACUGCAAGGUUUAUCGGUGUUAUUUUGUGCUGCAGGAGAAGAAGAACUUGAAUAGAAUUACUGAUGUCAACUGUGGUGGGAGCCUUUUAUUAGCCCCUGUUCUAGUCUUCACAUGAGUGGCAAAGGUUAGGAGUGCACGCCAGCAAGCACUGACUCAGACAAGAGACAACAGUCGCACAAAGUGUGGAAUGCCGAAUCAAUUUUUCUCCCUUUUAAUCAAUCCAAUCCCUCAAUAAGCAUCCAUCCGGAUCGGAACAAUUGUAUCCCUGAGCAGUUUAUCAAUUUAAGUCAUGUUUCUUUCAAGUUAGAGCUUCUCAACAAUGCUAUAUUUAAAUACAGUACCUUUUGUUAUGUUUUAUUAAGUUAAAAAUUAGGUUACAUUUCAAUCAAAUUAGCUGUAAUGUAAAUGUUCAUUUCUGUAUGGGAUUAUUUUUAAUUUUUGAAUAAUCUUCAAGGCAGAUGGUGAACAAAUUCGUACGCAUUCACUUUGCUCUUUUCAUCGCUUUUACGUUUUGACAAAAAAAGUUAAGGAUAAAGUAGUCAUUCUCUCUCUAAAUACACGCACAUCCGGUGUUCUUCAUGUAUACUUUAAAAUGAAAACAAUUGUCUGAUAACAUCAGGGAUAAAAAAAAAGUCAAAAUAUACAAAACAAUGAAAAUUUUGAAUAUUUUCCUUGAAUUCCUAUACAGUCGUCGAAUUUCUCAGCUUCACUCAAUCACCGUUUUCACGUUCAUGCUGUUUCAUGCUUGAAUACAGCGUUUUAUUCGUCAGAAAUAUGCAGAUUUAAGCUAAUGUUAUGUACUCUUUGCCUAAAUUAAGCAUUUUCAAGCAUAAAAACGGCUAAAUGAACUCAAAUAUAAAUAUGAGGCAUAUAAAAGACACAUUCAAAGACGUUGACGUAGUAUUCUACGCUCGUCACUAGGUGUCAGUAACGUUCUGUGAGACACACAAUCACCAGACCUUGAAUUAUAUCACAACAGGCACAAUAAUCCCUAAUAAAAACACGGGCUACUGUUGCAGCCGUAACCCACGGCAAAAUGAAACUCAACUGUAAACCCCCGACGUCACUUCCUGCCACUCACGCCACUCAUUCUGCUCCCCGAUGGAACACAUUUAUAGCGACACACGAGUACAAGUCUUAUUUAUGUCUUAAAUGGCUUAUUUACUCCGAUUAUGUCUACUAUAUUGGGUAAAGGUGACUAUAGGGGUGUUACUUCAUGUCUAUUGGGCUCUAAUAAUGUUAAAAACUGUAUUUAGUCAUUUGUAAUGCGUCAACAUUUGCUCAUGGACACUGCGAAAGAAAACAAAUCAGUUCUAUUCAAUUUGUGUGUAUUUGGCUACUGGUGUAUUUGGCUAGAGCAGGUUACACACUGCAUAUUAACACCGGUUAACCACAGCUCUAUAUAUCCUCCUCAACCAGAAUCAAUAAUGAUGUGUACUUCCAGAACUCAGUAUCUAUCUAUUUACCGAAAGCCCUUCAGUCAGGUGGAAGUUCAUCUUUAGAUGCUGGGACUUGCUCUGAAUGCAAACAGCUCACCGUGGUUUCUCGUGCUUUUUGCUCUAAAUGAGUUUAUUGACCAUUAUUUUGUAUGGGUCCGAAAGGGUGUCUGGGGACAGGUUCAUCUGUGAAAUACAGUUGGACGAGUCAGCAUGGGUCCGAAAAGAUGACUGCUUUAUUAGUGCUAACAUGUUUCUAUUUAUUGUGUGCAGUGUACAGCAGUUAUUGCUUAACGAGGGCUAGCAUGGUUUCAUUAACUAUUAUGCACAAGGUUACACAACUUCACUUAUGAAGUAUAUGGUGUAUGCUUACUUGUGUUUGCUUAAAAUAAAAAAUAUCAAAUAUUUUCUCCAAAGGAAUGUCUGCACUCUUUCCUGUGGUUAAUAACUCUCCUCGUAGAAAUAACUUGCCACAUCUUUUACUGUCUAAAUAGCUGGCAACACAGCACAGUGAACAUGUGAACAAAUUGUGUCAUGAAUUAAAGAAAGAUCACACAAGUUUUCUACUAAUGACAUUAAAACAUUACAUCCUAUCAUAACAAUCCCUGCUAGCGAACCUUUUGUGGCCAUCCUAAAACUUUAAAUACAUACCUGUAUGUACUCUAAAUUGCACAUCUGAUUAGUUUAAAUAAACACAAAAAAAAAACGGGAAUGCGGGAAAUGAGAAGUUCCAAAUCUGAUUUGUGGCAUGCACUGUAGGUCAGCAAUCUUGCCCUGGAAGAAUGGAAAUUUGGCGUGUAAAAGGAGGAAAUAAGAACAUCCCUGUAAUUAAAUGGCAAAGGUGUAGUGGAACUCUAUAUGACAACUUGGGAAAGAACUCACAUUACCACCACUCGCAUCAUAUAUACUUGUAUAUAUAUAUAUAAUAAAUUAGAGGAA